UAGGCUGGGUGUGUAAGCGUAGCGAUACGUUGAGCUAACCAGUACUAAUGACCCGAGAGGCUUAACCUUACAACACCGAAGGUGUUU
RNAcentral lists this ribosomal RNA (87 nucleotides) under Pectobacterium brasiliense. RNAcentral describes it as "Pectobacterium carotovorum subsp. brasiliense partial 23S ribosomal RNA". Lineage: Bacteria; Pseudomonadati; Pseudomonadota; Gammaproteobacteria; Enterobacterales; Pectobacteriaceae. The record is from RNAcentral.